Molecule: long non-coding RNA, 1624 nt
Filed under: Dasypus novemcinctus (nine-banded armadillo)
Lineage: Eukaryota; Metazoa; Chordata; Mammalia; Cingulata; Dasypodidae
Description: lncRNA (ENSDNOG00000050933.1)
Source: RNAcentral
AAUCAGAAAUCCACUCAUACUAGCUUAAGCCCAGAAGCAAGUAUCCUGGGGGCAGACGUGGGGUGAGUGUACCCCUAGAAGUUUCUUAACCUGGUUUACAUUUUUUAAAAAUUAUAUUAUUAUUAAAUAAUUUUAUUAAAUUAUUAAUAUAAUGAUCACUACUUCAUUAAUUAAGGACAUAGGAUUUGUAAAAUUGAGGUCAUUAAUUAUGACUUUAUGUUUCUGUUUGUAAGAAAGAAAAAAGUUCAACUGUAACCUGUGAAGCAAUAAAACAAAAAAAAAAUAAAAAGAUUUGUGUUGGAUUAUGCUUUAGGCUUGAGAGUUUUAGGUAACAGGCAGAGUAGAAUUGUGAAAAUGGAAACUGUUAUAAAGCAAAUGGAAAAGCAGGUAGGCAUCUUGCUUUGAACAAGUAAGGCGACUGCCUCACAAUCAGCCAUCUGGGAAAUGUCUUAAUCUCCCCCCCACCCCCAACCUUUUAAAACUACUCUAUUGAGGUAUAACAGAUGUAAAGUAUACACAAUUAAAGUUUAAAGUUUGAUAGAAUUUGAUAUAUGUGUGUACCUGUGAAACAGUAACCACUUUGUAAUCCUUCCCUCCUGGCCUUCCUCACACCCCAUCUUGCAGCUACCACUAAUCUGCUUUAUGUCACUAUAGAUUAGUUUACAUUUACUAGAGUUUUAUAUAAAUACAAUUAUACAGUAUGUAAUCUUUGUCUGGUUUCCUUUACUCACUAUAAUUAUUUUGAGAUUCACCCAUGUUGUUCUGUGUAUCAGUACUUCAUUUCUUUUUAUUGCUGAAUAGAGUUCCAUUGUAUGGAUAUACCACAAUUUGUCUAUCCAUUCACCUGUUGAUGGACAAUUGUUUCUUUUUCUUAUAGAUGUACAUGUUUUGGGGUUGGGAUCUAUUUUCUCAGCUAAAUCUGGGGCGAGGACCUGACAUUCUAUUUCUGGAUUACUUGCAGAGUGCUGAAUGUUGAAGAAAAGCUUAUCAAGGAAUGAAAUUUCAAAUGGAAUAUAGAGGAAGAUACACAAAAAUUUAUCAAAAAUGGGAUAUUGAAGUGUUGCUGGUGGAAUUGAUGCUGACCACCUAUCCCAACAACCUCAAAGCAUGUAAUUUGUUCUAUCUGCUAGUAAGACAUCUUGCAUAAAGUUUCAGCAAUUUAAAAGAUUGUCUCCAAUUACCCUCUGUGAUUUAAUAAUUUAUCUGCCUUUUAAUGUCUCUUAGAUGCAAAAAGUUAUUUCUAUUGAUUCUCAGAUUGUAAAAUAAAUAUGAAUAUUUUGACACUUCUUACUACACAAUUUUUGGUGGGAGAGAACAACAGGUCACUUGCAUUUUUGCCUUUAGUGCCCCUUUAGGAGAGGUAGAAAGUAUGGUUUCUUCUGAAUUCACGGGAAGGAAAGGUUAGGAGACUUGGGUAUGAGUCUGUGAAAAAGUGAGCAGAAAUGUCUAUGGUUCUAUUCUUCUGGGUCCAGUCGCUAUUACAUUUCUCAGAAUAAUAGUUUGAUAUUGGUUUCCCCAUACUCCUAUUAAACUUGAAAAUUUUAUUUAAAUUUUUGUAUGGAAAUAUCUUCUGUAGAAUGUGAUUGUUCUCAUGAAUACUUUUCUUCCACACCAAAUACCUGCC